Rhagoletis zephyria (snowberry fruit fly) is the source of this 97-nucleotide long non-coding RNA. RefSeq lists it as uncharacterized. The record is from RefSeq and is a predicted model, not a curated record. NCBI's taxonomy places the organism in Eukaryota, Metazoa, Arthropoda, Insecta, Diptera, Tephritidae.
CUUUUUUGACCUGAGUUGCAUUAAAUAGUCUCAUACAACUUAGUAGUAUUUGUGGUUCAAAUGGUAAGUGUUAAAUUUGUUUAAAUUUUAAUUGUGG